AUCGCCUUACGGGACGCAGCAGUGAGGAAUAUUGGUCAAUGGACGAGAGUCUGAACCAGCCAAGUAGCGUGAAGGAUGACUGCCCUAUGGGUUGUAAACUUCUUUUAUAUGGGAAUAAAACGUUCCACGUGUGGGAUUUUGUAUGUACCAUAUGAAUAAGGAUCGGCUAACUCCGUGCCAGCAGCCGCGGUAAUACGGAGGAUCCGAGCGUUAUCCGGAUUUAUUGGGUUUAAAGGGAGCGUAGGUGGAUUGUUAAGUCAGUUGUGAAAGUUUGCGGCUCAACCGCAAACU
Molecule: ribosomal RNA, 291 nt
Filed under: uncultured bacterium
Lineage: Bacteria
Description: partial 16S ribosomal RNA
Rfam family: Bacterial small subunit ribosomal RNA
Source: RNAcentral